GACGAACGCUGGCGGCGUGCCUAAUACAUGCAAGUCGAACGCUGAAGGAGGAGCUUGCUUCUCUGGAUGAGUUGCGAACGGGUGAGUAACGCGUAGGUAACCUGCCUGGUAGCGGGGGAUAACUAUUGGAAACGAUAGCUAAUACCGCAUAAGAGUAGAUGUUGCAUGACAUUUGCUUAAAAGGUGCAAUUGCAUCACUACCAGAUGGACCUGCGUUGUAUUAGCUAGUUGGUGGGGUAACGGCUCACCAAGGCGACGAUACAUAGCCGACCUGAGAGGGUGAUCGGCCACACUGGGACUGAGACACGGCCCAGACUCCUACGGGAGGCAGCAGUAGGGAAUCUUCGGCAAUGGACGGAAGUCUGACCGAGCAACGCCGCGUGAGGGAAGAAGGGUUUCGGAUCGUAAAGCUCUGUUGUAAGAGAAGAACGAGUGUGAGAGUGGAAAGUUCACACUGUGACGGUAUCUUAACAGAAAGGGACGGCUAACUACGUG
RNAcentral lists this ribosomal RNA (495 nucleotides) under uncultured bacterium. RNAcentral describes it as "partial 16S ribosomal RNA". It matches the Rfam family "Bacterial small subunit ribosomal RNA", at positions 28 to 507 of the family's 1533-position model. The record is from RNAcentral.